GGGUGAGGUCGCGCAGCGCGGCGGCGUCGGCGCCCCCGACGCGGCGGGCGACCUCCUCGAACGUCACGUUCUCGUCGUGCUCGCCCACC
Molecule: transfer RNA, 89 nt
Filed under: Isoptericola dokdonensis DS-3
Lineage: Bacteria; Bacillati; Actinomycetota; Actinomycetes; Micrococcales; Promicromonosporaceae
Description: tRNA-Gly
Source: RNAcentral